GCACAACGCGAAGAACCUUACCUACCCUUGACAUGUCUGGAAUGCCGAAGAGAUUUGGCAGUGCUCGCAAGAGAACCGGAACACAGGUGCUGCAUGGCUGUCGUCAGCUCGUGUCGUGAGAUGUUGGGUUAAGUCCCGCAACGAGCGCAACCCUUUUCCUUAUUUGCCAGCGGGUUAAGCCGGGAACUUUAAGGAUACUGCCAGUGACAAACUGGAGGAAGGCGGGGACGACGUCAAGUCAUCAUGGCCCUUACGAGUAGGGCUACACACGUGCUACAAUGGCGUAUACAAAGAGAAGCGACCUCGCGAGAGCAAGCGGACCUCAUAAAGUACGUCGUAGUCCGGAUUGGAGUCUGCAACUCGACUCCAUGAAGUCGGAAUCGCUAGUAAUCGUAGAUCAGAAUGCUACGGUGAAUACGUUCCCGGGUCUUGUACACACCG
This 441-nucleotide ribosomal RNA is filed under the name uncultured bacterium. RNAcentral's name for it is "bacterial SSU rRNA". It matches the Rfam family "Bacterial small subunit ribosomal RNA", at positions 954 to 1392 of the family's 1533-position model. The record is from RNAcentral.